This is a long non-coding RNA of Felis catus (domestic cat), 5221 nucleotides long. RefSeq lists it as uncharacterized. The record is from RefSeq and is a predicted model, not a curated record. NCBI's taxonomy places the organism in Eukaryota, Metazoa, Chordata, Mammalia, Carnivora, Felidae. The transcript is spliced from 5 exons.
AGGGCCGCAGGGAAGGGUCUCUGUCCAUCCACACACAGGGACGUUGGCUCAAUAUGUAAUAACCAUGAGCCAGAGUUGGUUCUAGGGAGAAAGAAAUCAAAGGUGCUGGCAGAGCGGGCAGGCAUUUUCCUGAGGGUGAGGUGCACACAGGUACACACAACAAUGAAGUGUUCGUGGGCGAGGCCCAGGCCAACUCUACCAGCAAAGAGCCGAUGGCCAGACUAUGAGCCGGAUCCUCUCAACUGUGGACUUGGCCCACGUUCUUGCCCUGGGAGAAAUUGCUCCCAAGAGCUGAGGGAGUGGAAAGAGAAGGACUCCUUAGACCCGCGGCCUCAGUUAUCUUCAUCUGUGAAAUGUGAAUAAUGGCGACACCUACUGGAAAUACUGCCGUGAGGCGUUCUUGUAAGGGCAAAUGCCUGGAGUGUGGCAGGCACUCGGUAGUCAUCAAAUCCAGCCCCUGGCAACAGUAGAAAACUGUGCUCCCACUCCAAUGACUUCUGCAGCUGCCAUUCUCCUGUUUCCUUUGCCUGGGAUGUCCUCUAGCCAGCCUCCUCUAUCUGGUGAACUCCCAGACCUUCUCCAAGACCCAGCUCCAAUGGCCCCCCCUCUGAGAGGCCAGCCUGGACCCUUCCAGGAACAUGGAAGUGCAGGAUGACACCAUGUGACGCUGUAUACUAAUAGAGAAUCAUAAAAUUGUCUGCCAGCCUAACAGCCACGCUGUGGAAUCGGGCAGCCUCGCAUGUGCAUCCCGGUCCCACCACUUACUGCCUAGGUGACCUUGAACAAGUUACUUCAUCACUCUGAAUGUUUCCUCGUCUGCAAAACGGACCCACUAAGAGCUCCUCCUUCGCGGAGUCACGGUCACUAAGCGAGAUGACGUGUGUCAAGACCUCAGCAUGGGGCCCGGCGCGGAGUGAUUCCCCAAGGUGUUAGCCGUUUUGGUUAUAAGUAAGGUUUUUAAUUGUCCAGUGCGGAUAGAGAACAGGGUGGGGUGUAAUAAAGAACGGGAUAAACGCGUUCCUAAUCAUGACCUUCCUAAAGGCAGAUCCCAGUUUUCUUCUUCUUAGAGCUCCCUGCAAUAUGAUAUUUAUUAACAUGAUAGUGCAUCGUGGGCAAGAUGACCCACAGGGCUACCUCGUUUUCAGGCUACUUGCAAGGGGUAGGCUAUCAGUUGGCUCUAGCCAGAGUCAACUUGUUUCAAUUUCUCCCUCCUCCACCCGCGGCAGACAUCACUAAUCAAUCACAUCUCCCUCCCACACCCACGGGCAACAUCACUAAUCAAUGACUUCUCCCUCCUAAACCCACGGAAGACAUCCCUCCUAUGACACGGCAGACAUGACUAAUCCAUCAUAGCCCUCUUUCACACAGAGCAAGUCUAUAAUCUCAGAUUUCUCAGUAUAGAGCUCCGGGCAGUUACAACAAUUAAGCAGAGUGGGAAAAUGGCAUACAAUCUAGUUAACCUUUUCGGGUCUUGACACAUGGAUGGUUAAAGAUGUAGAGAGGAAGGGGGCGGACACCUUAGCCAGAGGGAGUGAGGUAAGCUGAAAUGUGAGUGAGAAGGCGGCUCUUCCGGGAAAAGGAAGUAAGUCAGAGAGAGGCUGCUUUAUGGGGCCCCUUGGCUCUGGGCUGGCUUGUAGCAGUGGGCAAAGGGAAUCACUGAAGGUCGUUGGGCAGGUGUUAUUUGGGGGGCAAGAUCUGUCUGGCUGCUAGUGCCAGAUGGUCCGUAAAGGGGCCUGAGCCCCGAGGAGGGGUGAGGAGGGCUGGAACUCAGGACAAGGUGCGGAGGGAGAUAAAGGCCAGGCAUGCUGGACGGGAAGCUGUGGUGAGCUUGGUGACUCCGGGCACAUCAGGAAUAGAAGGAAGUUGUGCCAUCAAAGCUGCUUUCCUGGCCCUGAGCUCUACAGGCUGGGAGAAUAAUGGCACCUCCAGCAGGAAGGGGGGCUGGGGCCCAGAGAAGAGGAUGUGCUUUGUUUCAGGCAUUGGAGGUGCCUUUGGGACAUCCAGCGGCGAUUUCCUGUGGGCGGCUGGAAAGGGGAGGUUGGAACCAGGGCUGGAGCUGCAGAUAUUAGAGAGGAAGAGAGGAAAAGGUUAAUGCUUUACAGGACCAGCCUCUCUUUUACUCAAAGCAGUUUGGGUAGGAAAAGAGAGUGUGCAUUCAGGAAAAAGAUGAACUGGGUGAAGGUCAUGGCUUAAUUAAGAGGCAUUCGCUGCAAUCCGGUUUUCCAAAAGAUACUGCGUAUCUGGGUCAAGUGUCCUUUUCACAAUAUCACCUAAAUUAGUAGGGAAAAAAUGUUUUUUGGUAAUAGGGAACAGUAAGUCUCAUGCUCAGGACCCCUAAUGUCCCUACUGCUAAGAAAGAAAGUGUAUAUUUAACUGAAAUACCCAAGCAAUCAGAAGAGAGGUCAGAGAGACAAUUCCUUUAUUAGGAAACUCCAUUUCCUAAUGCGUGAUAAAGUCACUUGAUCUCAAAGGUCACACAGACCUGGAUUUGGACCUCAGCUCCACACUUCCUAGCUGUGUGACCUUGGACAAGAUACUUAACCUCUCUGAACCUUGGUUCCCUCCUUCAUAAAAUGGAGCUAAUAGAGUACCUAGUUCACAAAGCUGUGGUAGUAAUCAAAUGAAAUGAUGUAUAUAAAGGUUUAGUCCAGGACUCGACAAGUAAUAAGCAUUGAAUGUUUGAGAGCUGUCCUUUUAUCUUACCGUCUUUUUUUUAGGAACAGAUUUUAAACAACCAGUGCAUCUUUUCAUGCCUGAUAGGAAUCCUGGGAAGUCCUCUGAGGGAGACAGAGAAACCCUACACUGAUAAUGCACCGGCCAAGCACAUUUCUUUUGUGUAGGUCCGUCACAUCACCCAGUAAGAGACAAAGUGGAAGAGGCUUCCGGAAUUCUCCAGGAGAUGAACAGCCUACUGGCCACCUUUCGUGGGCUUGUGGGCUUGAGGCCCAGGUUGGGGCUAGAGGCCUCCGCUGUCUGCAAUCCUGUGUCCUUCCCCCUUUCCACCAGUGUUUCCAUGACACAGGAGUCCCAAAGGUAAUCACAUGGACGUGUGGUAAAGCCCCCUUGACUCAUCAGUGAGGAUGCCCUACCAACCCAAAGGAGAUGACCUUGAGCCAAGGCCAGUGAGCAGAAACGGGGCCCCUACUUGACCCCCGGCCUGUCCUUGAGGGAGACUUUGGAGAGUUCCUACCACCGAUGGCCAGCAACGAAUUAACAAUCUAGAAGGUUCUGGAAGGUUCAGGUUCAUAGGUGGAAGUUUGGGCCAGAAAGACAAUUUGUUGUAGGAGGAUUAAACUCGGACCAUAAUAGCAGUACCUAACAUUUGCUGAGUAAUUACUGAGGGCCAGGAGCUGUUUUAAGUGUGCACCAACUCAUUCCCUCUUCACCAUGACCCGUGAGGGAAUUUUACACAGAUCACUGAGGCCCGGGUAUGUUAGCAAACGAACAGCCACACUAAGUGGCAGACGAAAGGUUUGAACCCGGGAAGUCUGACUUACAGAGCCCGUACUGUGACCACUGUGCUACCGCUGUGUCCCAGGGCUGGGGUCCACACCUGAGGGACGGGAAGGGGCCACAGCAUGAAGCCUGGCCUGAGGAAAGACUUUGCGGCAAAGGCUGUUUACCCAGGCCCGAGCCCACCUCGGUGGAAUGUUCUGCCUGGUGCCAGGCGCCCAGAUAAAGAGCCUUUUUGUCAGAUGUUCCCGGGGAUGAGUCACCCUCAGGAAGCUGCUGGAUUCUUCUAAGGGCCCCUGUUCUUUUAUCUCCUUGUUCCUUUCCUGGGGAUAAAUAGGACACUGCGAGAAUUUCUUUAAUUCCUAUAUUUACUCAUAGGUUCUUCUCAUCCCCAAACAGUGUUUAAUAAGAGAGGUAAAAAGUUCCCUGCUGUGCCAUCCUCCCCCUCCGGGCACCGGAGGUGCUGGAGACACGGCCCCGGGACCUAACUGAGCGGUUGUCCCGGUCGGAAGCGUCACCCAGGGGCCCGACCGCUGUCCCCACCUCGGCGUCCGCUCUAGCGACGCUGCUGAAAAGGGCGGGAGCGGAGCGACAGAAAGCAGGAGAUGCUCCCAUGAUCCCAGCUUCAGGGGAAGGAGCUAAGGGGUUCACUCCCGGCUGGGGGACGCCCGGCGAAACGUACUCUUAGGACAUCCUCCCGCGGCCACGGACACGAAGGCUUGGUGGGGGAUGCUAGGGCCUUAGGGCAAACCUCGGGCAGAAAUGGUAGAGGACAGACGUGUGCAAAUGUACCUCCGAUCACAGGGCCCUCGGAGAGUAAGUCCACAGCGGCUUCAUGCCGUCUUAUCCCUGGGUCCACACAGAGUCCCACUCAGACACAGGAAGGCCGUGGCACGGACGACUGCAGCCCGCUCAGUUCACGAUCCACUCAUUCGUUCGACACGGGUUCACCUCACGGAGCACUUCCUCCGUCCAGGAGUCUCGCUGAGAGCCCAACUGAACAGCCCUGGCCACAGGACGAGAGCGGACAGGGGGCACCUGGGCGCCUCCGCCUGGAGGGGCAGCAGAAUGUCCCAUGUGACAAAGCCGGCAGGGCCCUCCGCGUAGCACCUGGCGCACCACAGCCCACAACCAAUGGUAGCUAUUUGUGUAAUAGCGUUAGGCGCGUUUUUUACCACCCUCCGAUUCUCAGACAUUUGGAGUGACGUUAGCGUCCGAAGAUCUGGAUUAGAGUCACGGCUGUCACCUCCUCACCAUUCCUUAUGUUCAUCAGCGUCUCUCUCCUCGUGGUGCGGGAAGGAACAUCUGCUCUACUGUGUUGUGGGGAUCAAAUGAGACAACAGUGGGAAAGAGUUUUGUGAGUCAAGUCCAGUGUGGGUUGAGACGACCACGAACCGAGGGCACUCCGGGCUUCUGUCCCGUGUCUGUGGUGAACCCUCCGUGCCACCCAGAACCUCCUCCCCUCCUCUGAGGCCUUCCAGCCCCUCUUGGGAAUGAAGGGUUUCCACCUGAUUCCCCCAUGUCCAGUGAGACUGUAAGUCUCUUGAGGACCAGACCCGUGUUCAUAUACAACUAAGAGCAGCCAUUCACCACAUUUAGGACAUGCCAAGCAUUUUGCAGACCUCAUAUCAUGUUCUUCUCUCCAGAUCCCUGCAAGGAAGGGACUGCUGUUAUCCCCGUUGCCUAGAUGAGGAAACUGAGGCUUGAAGAGUUAAACACUUUGCCCCGGAUCCAACAGCCAAUGUCUGACUUUUUUUUUUUUUUUUUU